This 1229-nucleotide ribosomal RNA is filed under the name Bacillus velezensis. RNAcentral's name for it is "bacterial SSU rRNA". It matches the Rfam family "Bacterial small subunit ribosomal RNA", at positions 157 to 1372 of the family's 1533-position model. The record is from RNAcentral. Lineage: Bacteria; Bacillati; Bacillota; Bacilli; Caryophanales; Bacillaceae.
CCGGGGCUAAUACCGGAUGGUUGUCUGGACCGCAUGGUUCAGACAUAAAAGGUGGCUUCGGCUACCACUUACAGAUGGACCCGCGGCGCAUUAGCUAGUUGGUGAGGUAACGGCUCACCAAGGCGACGAUGCGUAGCCGACCUGAGAGGGUGAUCGGCCACACUGGGACUGAGACACGGCCCAGACUCCUACGGGAGGCAGCAGUAGGGAAUCUUCCGCAAUGGACGAAAGUCUGACGGAGCAACGCCGCGUGAGUGAUGAAGGUUUUCGGAUCGUAAAGCUCUGUUGUUAGGGAAGAACAAGUGCCGUUCAAAUAGGGCGGCACCUUGACGGUACCUAACCAGAAAGCCACGGCUAACUACGUGCCAGCAGCCGCGGUAAUACGUAGGUGGCAAGCGUUGUCCGGAAUUAUUGGGCGUAAAGGGCUCGCAGGCGGUUUCUUAAGUCUGAUGUGAAAGCCCCCGGCUCAACCGGGGAGGGUCAUUGGAAACUGGGGAACUUGAGUGCAGAAGAGGAGAGUGGAAUUCCACGUGUAGCGGUGAAAUGCGUAGAGAUGUGGAGGAACACCAGUGGCGAAGGCGACUCUCUGGUCUGUAACUGACGCUGAGGAGCGAAAGCGUGGGGAGCGAACAGGAUUAGAUACCCUGGUAGUCCACGCCGUAAACGAUGAGUGCUAAGUGUUAGGGGGUUUCCGCCCCUUAGUGCUGCAGCUAACGCAUUAAGCACUCCGCCUGGGGAGUACGGUCGCAAGACUGAAACUCAAAGGAAUUGACGGGGGCCCGCACAAGCGGUGGAGCAUGUGGUUUAAUUCGAAGCAACGCGAAGAACCUUACCAGGUCUUGACAUCCUCUGACAAUCCUAGAGAUAGGACGUCCCCUUCGGGGGCAGAGUGACAGGUGGUGCAUGGUUGUCGUCAGCUCGUGUCGUGAGAUGUUGGGUUAAGUCCCGCAACGAGCGCAACCCUUGAUCUUAGUUGCCAGCAUUCAGUUGGGCACUCUAAGGUGACUGCCGGUGACAAACCGGAGGAAGGUGGGGAUGACGUCAAAUCAUCAUGCCCCUUAUGACCUGGGCUACACACGUGCUACAAUGGACAGAACAAAGGGCAGCGAAACCGCGAGGUUAAGCCAAUCCCACAAAUCUGUUCUCAGUUCGGAUCGCAGUCUGCAACUCGACUGCGUGAAGCUGGAAUCGCUAGUAAUCGCGGAUCAGCAUGCCGCGGUGAAUACGUU